RNAcentral lists this ribosomal RNA (467 nucleotides) under uncultured bacterium. RNAcentral's name for it is "partial 16S ribosomal RNA". It matches the Rfam family "Bacterial small subunit ribosomal RNA", at positions 29 to 507 of the family's 1533-position model. The record is from RNAcentral.
ACGCACGCUGGCGGCGUGCUUCACACAUGCAAGUCGCACGGAAAGGCCCUGCUUUUGUGGGGUGCUCGAGUGGCGAACGGGUGAGUAACACGUGAGUAACCUGCCCUUGACUUUGGGAUAACUUCAGGAAACUGGGGCUAAUACCGGAUAGGAGCUCCUGCUGCAUGGUGGGGGUUGGAAAGUUUCGGCGGUUGGGGAUGGACUCGCGGCUUAUCAGCUUGUUGGUGGGGUAGUGGCUUACCAAGGCUUUGACGGGUAGCCGGCCUGAGAGGGUGACCGGCCACAUUGGGACUGAGAUACGGCCCAGACUCCUACGGGAGGCAGCAGUGGGGAAUAUUGCACAAUGGGCGGAAGCCUGAUGCAGCAACGCCGCGUGCGGGAUGACGGCCUUCGGGUUGUAAACCGCUUUCGCCUGAGACGAAGCGUGAGUGACGGUAAUGGGUAAAGAAGCACCGGCUAACUACGUG